RNAcentral lists this unclassified non-coding RNA (809 nucleotides) under Hevea brasiliensis (rubber tree). The record is from RNAcentral. Lineage: Eukaryota; Viridiplantae; Streptophyta; Magnoliopsida; Malpighiales; Euphorbiaceae.
GGAGGAGGAGGAGGAGGAGAUUUGACCUUGGCCUUCCUGCUCCUCGGCUUCUUAAUCUAGGUCUGUCUUUUUUACUUUUUCCUUCAUUCUUUCUUGCUCUCUUCUCUUUUCCCGGAGGAUAGAAGAAGAUCUAACCUGGGCCUUCUUGCUCCUCAGCUUUUCAAUCCAAGUCUCUCUUUUUUACCUUUUCAUUCACUAUUACCAUGACUAAAGAUGAGCACCAUGCCUCGGCUUCACAGCCACCCCAUGAUUCCUCAUUACAUGACCAAUCUGAAUUUGUUGAAUUAGAAAGACAAGUUGAACAACUUAUUGCACAAAUGAAAGCUACGUGCAAACAAAUUGCAAUGUAAGAAGAGUUUGUUAAUUAACACCUAGGGUCACCUCAUUCUGUUGAGUUUGCAUUUACUAAAAUUUAUACACUAGACACACAACAUGCAUCUCAUAGGGGUUGUAAUGUAGCAUCAAAGCAAGUGACAUUUAGCCUUGUUGGUAAUCUUCCUUUGCACUCUAGAGAUAGGACACAUAUUGGGUAUGAUGAGCAUGUUCUUGAUGAAACAUCUGCAAACAAAUAGUCAAACUGAAGUUGUGAAUUGUAGCUUGGGUGAAUUGUAGCUUGGGUGAUUUACUUGGGUGUGAUGUGGGAGAGAAGCAAGGUAAUUUGGUUCUUCUUUUCUAGAGUUUGCCUAUAACGAUUUAGCAAAUCGUUCCACAGGUGAAAGCUCUUUUGAGAUUAUUCAUGGCUAUUUUCCCUGCACCCAAGUUGACCUUAUUCCUUUUCCACCUGAUAUUCGUGUUUCACAACUUUCUGA